ACAAAUCCUGCUGCGGUGCUGCCCUCCCUGGGUGGUGCUGUAGUAUAUUAACUCGGUCCAGGCCGCAAGGCUUGGGCUGAUAAAUUAAUGUGUGUGUGUGUUGACAAUGUGUGUGAGAUAAAUAAUUAGUAGA
This 133-nucleotide unclassified non-coding RNA is filed under the name uncultured fungus. RNAcentral's name for it is "sequence contains ITS1". Lineage: Eukaryota; Fungi. The record is from RNAcentral.